Molecule: long non-coding RNA, 514 nt
Organism: Cheilinus undulatus (humphead wrasse)
Lineage: Eukaryota; Metazoa; Chordata; Actinopteri; Labriformes; Labridae
Exons: 3
Source: RefSeq, a predicted model, not a curated record
CUCAGAGCACGAAGAGAGCCUGUAGCUCUGAGCCUGAAACUCAGAGCAAGAAGCUCAAACCUGACCUCAAGACUCCAGCGUUUAAGUCUCAGACCGUCCCUGCAGACGAGCUCUGCGACCAGCCCUCCGGACUCUCCACACCUGCAGCACCUGUGAAGCGCAACAUCACCUUCAAGCUCAUGAGACGCUUCUAAAGGACCCGACCUGCAGGAGAACUACAAUCUUCACCCUCCUGCCUCUUGUGGUGGCUGUAAGCUGGGCUGCAUAUGGGUGGGUUGGUGGGACACACCUUUUCACAGCACACUGACAAAAAAGCUGUGAAAAGGUGUGCUGGGGCCUGAAGUCCGGCCUCUGGUUUAUUCUCGGUGUGAGUGGCCUCACUUUGGCUACCAGCAUAGAGAGUAUAGCUGGAUGUGACGCCUGGCUUCAGGUGCCUAAAGGGCCCUGCAGGGUUCAACUCACAGCCAAAGCUGAAGGUUCCUGUCAGAGCCUGAAGGCUAUGAGGAGAACCUGC